This 500-nucleotide ribosomal RNA is filed under the name uncultured bacterium. RNAcentral's name for it is "partial 16S ribosomal RNA". It matches the Rfam family "Bacterial small subunit ribosomal RNA", at positions 30 to 523 of the family's 1533-position model. The record is from RNAcentral.
AUUGAACGCUGGCGGAAUGCUUUACACAUGCAAGUCGAACGGCAGCACGGACUUCGGUCUGGUGGCGAGUGGCGAACGGGUGAGUAAUGUAUCGGAACGUGCCCAGUCGUGGGGGAUAACGUAGUGAAAAUUACGCUAAUACCGCAUACGAUCUAUGGAUGAAAGCGGGGGAUCGCAAGACCUCGCGCGAUUGGAGCGGCCGAUAUCAGAUUAGGGAGUUGGUGGGGUAAAGGCCCACCAAGCCAACGAUCUGUAGCUGGUCUGAGAGGACGACCAGCCACACUGGAACUGAGACACGGUCCAGACUCCUACGGGAGGCAGCAGUGGGGAAUUUUGGACAAUGGGCGAAAGCCUGAUCCAGCCAUUCCGCGUGCAGGACGAAGGCCCUCGGGUUGUAAACUGCUUUUGUACAGAACGAAAAGGUUUCUACUAAUACUAGGAGCUCAUGACGGUACUGUAAGAAUAAGCACCGGCUAACUACGUGCCAGCCGCCGCUGUAA